Molecule: ribosomal RNA, 253 nt
Filed under: uncultured bacterium
Lineage: Bacteria
Description: partial 16S ribosomal RNA
Rfam family: Bacterial small subunit ribosomal RNA
Source: RNAcentral
UACGUAGGUGGCAAGCGUUGUCCGGAUUUACUGGGCGUAAAGAGCGCGCAGGCGGUCGUUCAAGUCGCGUGUGAAAGCCCCCGGCUCAACUGGGGAGGGUCACGCGAUACUGAUCGACUCGAAGGCAGGAGAGGGUAGUGGAAUUCCCGGUGUAGUGGUGAAAUGCGUAGAUAUCGGGAGGAACACCAGUGGCGAAGGCGGCGACCUGGGUAGAUACUGACGCUGAGGCGCGAAAGCGUGGGGAGCAAACAGG